Molecule: non-coding RNA, 105 nt
Filed under: Bacteroides sp.
Lineage: Bacteria; Pseudomonadati; Bacteroidota; Bacteroidia; Bacteroidales; Bacteroidaceae
Also listed under: 1 other name
Description: SAM-I-IV sequence
Rfam family: SAM-I/IV (S-adenosyl methionine) riboswitch aptamer
About the family: It is found upstream of a number of genes which code for proteins involved in methionine or cysteine biosynthesis. It has been found mostly in the order Actinomycetales.
Source: RNAcentral
UAUAAACAUCAAGAGCAGUUUAAUCUGCACCAACCGAGCAAGACAGCCGCGGUGGUCAAGAUACGAUGUGGAAGAUUUAGUUUAACUUCAAAAAAAUGUCAUUAU